AGCGAACGCUGGCGGCAGGCCUAACACAUGCAAGUCGAACGAACUCUUCGGAGUUUGGGGCGGACGGGUGAGUAACACGGGGGAACGAGCCCUUUGGUUCCGAAUAACUCAGGGAAACUUGUGCUCAUACCGCAUGUGCCCUUCGGGGGUAAGAUUUAUCGCCAUUUGAGCGGCCCGCGUCUGAUUAGCUAGUUGGUGAGGUAACGGCUCACCAAGGCGACGAUCAGUAGCUGGUCUGAGAGGAUGACCAGCCACACUGGGACUGAGACACGGCCCAGACUCCUACGGGAGGCAGCAGUGGGGAAUCUUGCGCAAUGGGCGAAAGCCUGACGCAGCCAUGCCGCGUGAAUGAUGAAGGUCUUAGGAUUGUAAAAUUCUUUCACCGGGGACGAUAAUGACGGUACCCGGAGAAGAAGCCCCGGCUAACUUCGUG
RNAcentral lists this ribosomal RNA (433 nucleotides) under uncultured bacterium. RNAcentral describes it as "partial 16S ribosomal RNA". It matches the Rfam family "Bacterial small subunit ribosomal RNA", at positions 29 to 507 of the family's 1533-position model. The record is from RNAcentral.